UCAUCUGAUGAAGCGGCACUGGGCUCCGAUACUAUCACAUGAGCCGAUAUGCCAAUCUGUGACAGGCCUAGAAAACCUCGUCCACUGAUC
The sequence is a small nucleolar RNA, 90 nucleotides long. It matches the Rfam family "A. fumigatus snoRNA Afu_513". The record is from Rfam.